GAUAAGUAAACAAAUAUUUUAAUCCUUUAAUGUUAAAAAUACAUUAAAUUAAAUCACAGUAGUAUGACUUUAUUAUUUUUAGAAAAAUAUGCAUAAGGAAAAUAUGCUACUGGGUUCUAAAAAUGUUGUUAUUUAAAUUUAGGGGAUGAGGAGGUGAUUGAGUUUGCAAAGUACUUGCCAUUCAAGCUGAGGACCUAAGGUCAGAUAUCUAGGCAUGAAAAAUGCUGAGCAUGGCUGUUUGCUCAACGUAACUCUACUGCUGGGUUAGGGAGGUGGAUAACAGGAUUGCUAGACCUUGCUGAUCAGUCAGCCUAGUAGAGAAGCACGAUGCUUCAGGCUCAAUGAGAGACCCUGCUUCAAAACAAAGAUGGUGAGUAAUUUAGGAAGACACUCAAAGUUAAACUCUAGCCUCCACAAUGGCAUACAUAUUCAUACAUAUGUGCACAUGUACAUGAACUCAGACAUUCAGAAAUACCUUAGCAUAGAGAUAUAAGUUUUGGUUCUCCAAUCAUUAUAACAUGCCUGCAAAUAACUUUAGUAUCUGUUUGAAGUAAAGAUGGGGGGGGGGGGAGAAAUCAUCACUGGAAAUUGAUUAGUGACCCAACUUCUACUUAUAGCAGUUUAUUCUAAAUGUUUAAUUAAUGCUGGGCAUGGUGGCACACACCUUUAAUCUCAGCACUUGGGAGACCAAAGCAGGUACUUCUCCAUGAGUUCUAGGCCAGUCUUGUUUACAUAGCGAGUCCCAGGCCAGACUUAUCUAUGUAGGAUUUGCUUUUUUUUUGUUUUUAUUAAAAAAUACUGAUAGUGAAGGUAGAUGCACUUGCCUCCAAUACAAAAUAAUUUUUGUCAUGCAGUACCUAAAAUCAAUGACUAUCUAAUCCCUUUCUAAUUUUUCAAAUGUGUAAAGUAGGAUGGGCUCAGAUACAGAGAAGCAAACCAAGCUGUACUCGAACCAUGGUUUAGUUCUGUACAGAAACAUCGGUUAUGAAAACUGUUUUCUUUGUGUGAAUUCAGUUCUUACAUGGAAGUGUAAAAGGUCUGAUGCCAUUCAGUGUAUAAGGAUCUAAAUCCAACUUUCAGGAGGUCUCGUGAAGGAAACAGAGGGACAGGUCAAUCAGUGUGCCUACUGUGUUGCUCUGUGCCUUCUGGGUGCUUUGGGAACAAAAAGAUGAAUAGGUUGGGCUUUUUGGAGCCCUCAGAAAAAGGAAAGAAAAUGCCUGUGAAUUUUUGAUCAGUUGUGAAAUAAAAUAAAGUAGAAUGUAGAAGGCAGUGAUUGGAUUUGUUUCCCUGGCUCCAUCAAUCUCUGUAGACUCUUUGAGCAAAACUGGUCGAGCGGCUUACAUGACAGUUAUUCAAGCAAAUGGAAAAUUUCCCAAGCUCCUGCUGGCUCAGAAACAGAGGGCUCUUUUAAAGCAGUACAGAACUCAGCAGUUUGGGUUUCAUUGAACUGGUUUAGUGGUUUCAACUUACAUAACUUCCAUAUGGAGCCUUGAAGGGGAGCAUAGAAUCCAAGCCUCUAUUGUCCCACCUGAGAGCAGCUGACAUUUCAAGGGUCUCUGGUGACUUGCCCACAAUUUUGAAGAUUUUUUUUUUCUUGUGAAAAUUUGAAAUUCUUACCAAACACCAACAAAACUAUGAAAGUCAGAUUUGUGAAAACUAAUGUAAAAUGGGUGUAAGAGCAGGAAAUCCGGUUUAAUCUCCUACUUAAUGUGCAGUGGUAUCUGGCACACUUCACCUACAUAUUAGCACGGAGCCUAGGCAGAAUGCAUACCAAGCAGGCAAUAGAACAGCAUUCUGUAGGGAACCAUGGAUGGCGCAAGAAUCUUGUUUUCCUUUUGAAAUAAACUCUGAGGCAAAUAAGACAAUUAGGUUGAGCAUCGUAAACUACAGAUAGCUAGGGCCAAUGAUUGCUAGAGACUAAAAGAUGAAAUUUUAAAAAUUUUAUUUUGUUUAAAUAUAAUUCCAUCAUUUAUCCCCUCCCUUACUUCCUUCCAGGCCCUCCUAUGCCCCAUCCCCAAUGCUUCUUCUCAUAUUCAUGACUUCUGUUUCUUUUCAAUUAUAUGUGUUUGUGUAUGUGUGUGUAUGUACAUGUGUGUGAAAGAGAGAGAGAAUAUAAAUAUGUAAAUGAAAACUACUGCAUCCACUUAGUAUUGCCUGUGUGUAUAUUUUAGGGAUGACCACUAGGUAUUGAAUAAUUAGGAGGCUUGUCCUUGGGGAGACUAAUUCUCCUUCUCUCAGCAGUCAUUCACUGCCUGUGGCUCUUCAUCUAUCAUAGGGCAAUUUUGAAACUAAAAACUAACAGGAAAGUUGCCUCUCACUUUGUUAUGAGACUGCAUUGAACAUCGCUGAGGAUCUAUCACAUAUAAACUUCCUGGUGGUCAUUUUAAAAUUUUCUCUACGCCCCCAUGCCUAGUACUUAUUCUCUUUAGUUCCUGAAGGUCAUAUGACUAAGAAGGGGUAGCUCCAAAAUCAAAACCAGGUAUUUCUUUUUAUUUUGUGUUGUUUUGUUUUGAAUAUAGCACACUACAUUUAAGUAUCAAUUUAUCUUUCAGUUGUGUGGAUUUACAAAUAGCAUGAAUAGGUGGAACCAUCUUCAAAAUGUUGGUAGAUUGUUUUUCAAAACAAAUUAUUGCAAAACUCUUUAUAUGUCUAAAUAUUUUGAUUAUUCCUUUGAGUAAGUUUCUACAUAACUAGAUAUCCAUCUUGUGAUGAAAAAAAAGGUCUUAAAAGAGAAAAAUAAUCAAGUCUUUGGAGAUUUCCCAGUGCUUUCAUCUGUUGCCGUAGAACAGGUAUGAUUUGCUAUUUGGAUGGCUUUAGAGGGCUGAUCACAAACUUAGUUGUUCAAUAUGCAUGUGAAACAUUGGCUGUCUUUAUUAGAUAUUAUUUCUUGUAUUCAUAAUGAGAAGAGGAAUUUUAGAAGACAACAUAGUGAAAAGUCCUAUGUCCAGCAAAGUUGCAUUACAUUUCUUUUAGAUGUUAUGAUAUGUAAAUGAAUAAUGCAUCUAAUGAAAAAAUGAGGUUUAACACUGAGGGAAAGAUUCUAUUUUUAGAACAUUGAGUAAAUACUUCCCUAAAACAUUCUCUACUGCCCUGCCUUAUUAUUUCCUUAGUAAAAAAUGUACUGUUUUUGGAAUGCAGGAGCAUUACCACAAACAUGAGUUAUUGAGUUAUUCUGUUAAUUGUUAUUGAUGUAAUUUUAUGAAAUACAUGCUAGGAACUGAAUGUUAUUAGCCUUGAAAACUAAAACUAACCUACUUAAUUUGCUAUAGAUAAUGAUAAAAUUUAAAAAUUUUUAUUGCAUGUAUGUCUGGAGUGUGCACAUGUGUGGUGGGUGUGCAUGCACAUGGAAGCCAGAGGAGGUCACUGGGUAUAAUCCUCUGUUGUUCUCUGCCUUAUUCCCUUGAGACUAGGUAUCUCACUAAACCUAGAACUCUUGGUCCUUUGUUUUUGUGGUGUUGUUGCUGUUUUGGUUAGGCUGGCUGGUCAGCAAGCCCCAUCAAGUCCAGCUGUUUGGUAUCCCAGCCCAGCAGUGGGGGCAUGGGUGUGCAUGGCCACACCCAGCUUUUGACAUGGAUGCUGAGGAUCUGAAUACAGGUCCUCAUGCUUAAGGACCAUGCAUUCUUAACUCAAUGAACUUCUUUCUGGCUUCUUAAUGACAUCAUUUUUUAAGUUUCCUAUGAAGGUAAUAAAGUAACCAGCCAAUAUGUGUGCACGUGGCCUAUGUGUAUUCCAGUUUCAGUGGCAUGGCAUGCCGAAUCUUCUGCUAAGAUCUUGGUCUUGCAGCAGAGCUUGUCAGGACUCAUCAUCUAUUCAGGCUGAUUCUUUUCUCCCUAGAUCCUUUUUCUUUGUUGUUAAGUCUCAAAACACUAUUAGAUGGCUGUAUAUCAUUUGCUACCAUUUCAUACCUAAUCCAAGUCCUCUACCUACCCAGAGGUGACAUGAAUUUCCUAAAAGAAGUCUCCUUAACUCAGAUUUAGAGAUGUGGUCAAAGUCUGUAAAACACUCUGAAAUGUCUCCUCCUAGUAUGCAUUACUGAAAUUAUUCUUAGCACCAGUUUCUCCUGACAAUAUAUUUCCCUGACGUCUAUCUCUUAUUUUUAGCCCAUAAUGUAACCAGAAGUUCAUGAAGCAUUGAUGAGGUGCCUACUUUUUUAGUGCUUGGCAGACAGAGAUGGCUACAGCACUUGCUCCACCCCCAAGACACUCAUAUUAAUGGAGGGGACAGAGACAUGAGGAUAUAACAUGUGUGAAUUAUUAUUGGCGAUACACGUGAACAAAUGGGACAUGAUUUAAUGAAAUAAGCCAUUUAUGAAACUUUUGUGCCUGGUUAGAGGGACUGAACACAUCAACUGAACUCUCGUUAUAGAGGGAAGAACCCAUGAAGUCUGUGGUUGCUGACUAAUGAAAAGAGCAACGUGGCUCCCAGUUUCUUGACUUGACUUUAUAUCUGAGAAGUUCCCUGCCUAAAAAAAUGAUGAAAGCAGGUGGGCUGUACUGCAUAGCUAUGUCAGUCUGUGAUGCUGGAGAUCCAUGAGGGGAGCAUUACUGUUCCUAUGGCAACUGAUGCUGCUCUAGUCAUGACCACACAAAGGACAAUCUGAAAAUCAAGGCGUGGAAAAGGAACAAGAGAAAGCAGUGUCAAGGAGGAGAAUAGGAGAUGCUGUGUAUCGCUCCUACAAUUGAGAGAAAAAGCACGAGAUGGACAAGGAGAUUCUCCAAGCCCAGAGGAGAGGUGGCCAAUAGCACACAAUGGGUGGCUACAAAGAAAUGACCACUUUUCUGCCUUUGAAAGUUGUGUUUCCUGUAAAGCAGGUGUUCCUAUCUUUUUGCCUUAGAGUCAGUUUUAAAUCCUGAAGUCUGUCUUCAAAAUGAAACUUGAAAAAAGCAAAGCAAGGAAAAUGAAGUUUUGUGAGGCUAUAUCUAUGCAUUUGGUCUUAGAAUUUUGAACAAGUUGCUUAGUCUAACUUUAAAAUAGGAGAAUGACAGCAAUUUCAGUUGCUGGGUUAAUGAAUGUGAGAGCUGGAAUAAAACUCUGCCCUGUGCAGUGAACCUUUCUACUUGGAGGGAAAUGUGGAUAAAACCAUUCAUUUUCACAUUUGACAAUGAGGAGGAAAAGGAAACAACAGAUUUUUGUUCUGGCCUCCCCUUCCUGGUUAAGGAGCAAACAAUUUGUUUAUUUUGUUUGAAGACAGGAUUGAGACAGAAAAAAAACUUAUCACGUACACACAAUUUAUAUCAAUAGAUCAUAACUUCCAGCGUGAAUAAGUAAAAUACUAUUAAACAAUUAUGUCUGAGUUUUUAAAAAGACCUUGAUAGCUUUGCUAUUAUUUAGUCAUUAUCCAGUAAGGAUGGGUCCCUAAUGUAACAUUCUAUUUUUAUCACCUCUUCAUGCCAUGCAUAGAAUAUGAAAUUCAAUGUUUUUAUAAAGUUGGACAUUUUCUAGAUCCAUGCACAAACAUCUUGGUGUAUUCUGACACAGUGAACACUCCUCUUCAAGGACUCACCUCCUCCAGUGCCUGUUCUUUGCCCUAGAGCAGAUGCUUUCAUGGCUGCCAGAGGUGAGCUACACAAAUGAAGGAUGCUGAAGUCCUGUGGUGUUGACCUCCUAGGUGCAGAUUGGGCUUCCAUUGUAGAUCUUUUUUCUAACAUCAAUCUCACUUCCUCCACAUGAGCUGAGCCCUAAGCUACUCAACAAACAUCGUGCACGCUGGACUUUCAUUCAGCAUCUGACUUUAGGAGAACACCUGGACAUUUUCUUACAAGGACAUGCUUAUGUGGAUGAAUCAAUUUUUCCUAUUUGAAAUAUCCACAAAGUCAAAUUUCCAACAUAAGUAUGACCUCAACCUACCUACACCACUCCUCAAGAAUUUGUAAAGGAAGAAAUAUUAAUCAUCAUGUUAGUUCACAUUCUACACUCAGGGUUUUUGAGAUGCUGCCUGUGAUUAAAGGCUUAUGAAGAUGUACCAAAUCCCAUAAAACAUUCAUAUAAUUGCAAAGGUUGGAAUUCAGAGCAUUAAAAGGACUCAGGCAGGGUUGUGCUAGAGAUUAGAACAGAGGAAGGCCUAAUAUUACUUCUUUGACUUUAUGUGACAAAGUUCUUUGACUUUAUGGUUCAAGGAGUCACCUCCCUUCUUCUCUCCUCCUUCCUCCCUUGUUCCUUUAACCCAAUUUAGUUCCUCAUCUCUCUCAGCCACAGCUGUUUCCUAGAACUGUGCAUUCCUGUCAGAGAUGCAAUGAGGAGUGUGGUAUGCAUAGUUCUAGCAAUUCUGUCAGUGUGCAACUGUACUUCAAAUGUGUCAAAUUAGAAGGUACUUUCUAAGUCUCAUGACACUAAGCAAUUUUCCUGGAUGUAGUGAGUAUGAGCCAGGCUUUCUCUGAGUGUCCAGGAGGCUCUGGGAGGCAGCAUGUUCACCCACAGGGCUACACAUUGGUACUUCCCUCCCUAAAAACAUAAGGAGUGCAUUCAGUAUUUCUUAGGCAAGAGAUUCAGUGAAGUGCCAUUGGGAUAUGGCAAUCUAGAAAUUUUUUUUCUAUCAUUUUUCAGUCCAUUUAGCUUCUGCAGUAUGAGAGGACAAUAUAUUUCCUGCAAAAUAUGUCACCCAGUAUAUGGCCUGGAUAUUUUCUAUUUUCACCUCAUCUAUUAGCAGAUAUUUAAAUAGUUAAGUCUAUUUUUUGUUUCUGUUUUUACAAAUAUCCUAAUAUUUUUCUAUUGUGAGUUUGUGUAAAUGCUCUAAUGUAAGCAUAUUAAAUGUUUGUUGGAUAAACAUCAUGUUUCUCUUAUCAUAUACACUAGGAAAGAAAGCAAUCGAAGACUCUCUAAGUCUCAUGGUGACCCUCCAAAGCAAAACUCAUCACCUCUGCUUUCAGAUCCUUAAAUGUUAGGUUCUACAAUAUUAAAUGUUGCUGGAUUUGUCUGCUAAGUCUCAGCCAUAUUCCAGGAUCUGUAUGUACCUUAAUUAAAUAGUUACCAGAAUA
This is a non-coding RNA of Cricetulus griseus (Chinese hamster), 6974 nucleotides long. Lineage: Eukaryota; Metazoa; Chordata; Mammalia; Rodentia; Cricetidae. The record is from RefSeq and is a predicted model, not a curated record.